This 729-nucleotide long non-coding RNA is filed under the name Homo sapiens (human). Its description in RNAcentral is "HSALNT0180362". Lineage: Eukaryota; Metazoa; Chordata; Mammalia; Primates; Hominidae. The record is from RNAcentral.
AAAGUCCCUAUACUACUCAAUAAUUAUUUUGCCUGAAAAUAUGUGGAGGAGGAGGGGAUUAAUAAAGAUAAAAAUCUCUUAAUUGAAUAUAAACAAUUUAACUGUUCAAGAAUUCCCCAAGUAAAUUUUAUCUACAUAGUGUGGGUUAAAUGUGGGGGGAAAAGGGAUGGUAGAUGCAAAAUGCAGUUAUUUGCUUCAAAAAUCUAUCUGUGUGAGUAGCUCCAAUGUAUAAAAGAUCAAAUGAAGAAAGUUUUACCGGCUUGUUUCCAAUGCCUCCGACUUAUCUGGGUGGAUCUUCCCCUCUGACUCAUUCUGGAACAGUCCUCCAUAAGUCAAGGAGACAGUUUACAAGCUGGGGAGGUUUCCCUUCAUAACGGCUGAGGGAACUUAUUCUCUCCACAACCACGGUUCAAUGUGUCAGGUACUGACAUAAGGAAAGAAUGUCUCUGACCUAAGGAAUUCAUAAUCUAAUAGGGGAGACGGACAAAUAAAUAGUCUGAUUCAGCAAAUAGCUACCGAGGGUCUACUUGUUUCCAGUCACUGGGGAUUUAAUGGCAAAAUAACCCUCAAGAAGCUUAUUGUCUAGUGGAAAAGACCAACAGGUAAACGGGCAGUGGGAAGUGCUGUGAGGGUGGAAUUGCUGGGUGUUGGACAGGUAGAGGGGGCUGUGGAGGAAGAGCACGUUGCAGCUAGUUAGAGAGGUAGGAUGAGAGCAAGGACAGGGAGAAG